RNAcentral lists this ribosomal RNA (627 nucleotides) under Wilsonomyces carpophilus. Its description in RNAcentral is "partial large subunit ribosomal RNA". It matches the Rfam family "Eukaryotic large subunit ribosomal RNA", at positions 35 to 664 of the family's 3401-position model. Lineage: Eukaryota; Fungi; Ascomycota; Dothideomycetes. The record is from RNAcentral.
UUUGCAUAUUCCAAAAAGCGGAGGAAAAGAAACCAACAGGGAUUGCCCUAGUAACGGCGAGUGAAGCGGCAACAGCUCAAAUUUGAAAUCUGGCCUCUUUUGGGGUCCGAGUUGUAAUUUGCAGAGGGCGCUUUGGAGUCGGCAGCGGUCCAAGUUCCUUGGAACAGGACGUCACAGAGGGUGAGAAUCCCGUACGUGGUCGCUAGCCUUCUCCGUGUAAAGCCCCUUCGACGAGUCGAGUUGUUUGGGAAUGCAGCUCUAAAUGGGAGGUAAAUUUCUUCUAAAGCUAAAUAUUGGCCAGAGACCGAUAGCGCACAAGUAGAGUGAUCGAAAGAUGAAAAGCACUUUGGAAAGAGAGUCAAAAAGCACGUGAAAUUGUUGAAAGGGAAGCGCUUGCAGCCAGACUUGCCUGUAGUUGCUCAUCCGGGCUUUUGCCCGGUGCACUCUUCUAUAGGCAGGCCAGCAUCAGUUUGGGCGGUUGGAUAAAGGUCUCUGUCAUGUACCUCUCUUCGGGGAGAACUUAUAGGGGAGACGCCAUGCAACCAGCUCAGACUGAGGUCCGCGCAUUCGCUAGGAUGCUGGCGUAAUGGCUGUAAGCGGCCCGUCUUGAAGCACCGGACCCACACA